UUGUAUAUGAGUUUUCCGCUGUAGACAGUAGGCGUCACUAGACUUAAUUUCCUACCGAGGUGGCUUAGAGUGAGUGAGUAAUUCAUGAAUUCAGCCCUUCGUGUCGUUUACGGAGGGCUUUUAUAUUUUAUAU
Regulatory RNA element from Desulfonispora thiosulfatigenes DSM 11270, 133 nucleotides. It matches the Rfam family "Ribosomal protein L10 leader". Rfam says of the family: This family is a putative r-protein leader autoregulatory structure found in B. subtilis and other low-GC Gram-positive bacteria. The record is from Rfam. NCBI's taxonomy places the organism in Bacteria, Bacillati, Bacillota, Clostridia, Eubacteriales, Peptococcaceae.